UACGUAGGUCCCAAGCGUUAAUCGGAAUUACUGGGCGUAAAGCGCACGCAGGCGGUCUGUUAAGUCAGAUGUGAAAUCCCCGGGCUCAACCCGGGAACUGCAUCUGAUACUGGCAGGCUUGAGUCUUGUAGAGGGGGGUAGAAUUCCAGGUGUAGCGGUGAAAUGCGUAGAGAUCUGGAGGAAUACCGGUGGCGAAGGCGGCCCCCUGGACGAAGACUGACGCUCAGGUGCGAAAGCGUGGGGAGCAAACAGG
RNAcentral lists this ribosomal RNA (253 nucleotides) under uncultured bacterium. RNAcentral describes it as "partial 16S ribosomal RNA". It matches the Rfam family "Bacterial small subunit ribosomal RNA", at positions 524 to 776 of the family's 1533-position model. The record is from RNAcentral.